AAGUCGAGCGGCAGGGUGCAGCAAUGCGCCUGAGAGCGGCGGACUGGUGAGUAGCGCGUGGGUAACCUACCCUUGGGAUGGGGAUAGCCAUUAGAAAUAGUGGGUAAUACCGAAUACGGUUGCGAGGCAGGGGCUUUGCAACGAAAGGGGCUUCGGCUCCGCCCGGGGAUGGGCCCGCGUUCCAUUAGCUAGUUGGUGGGGUAAGGGCCUACCAAGGCGAUGAUGGGUAGCCGGCCUGAGAGGGUGAACGGCCACACUGGGACUGAGAUACGGCCCAGACUCCUACGGGAGGCAGCAGCUAAGAAUAUUCCGCAAUGCACGAAAGUCUGACGGAGCGACGCCGCGUGGAUGAAGAAGGCCGAAAGGUUGUAAAGUUCUUUUGUUGCUGAAGAAUAAGCGGGGGAGGGAAUGCCCUCGUGAUGACGUUAGGCGACGAAUAAGCCCCGGCUAAUUACGUGCCAGCAGCCGCGGUAACACGUAAGGGGCGAGCGUUGUUCGGAAUUAUUGGGCGUAAAGGGCGCGUAGGCGGUUAUGUAAGCCUGGCGUGAAAUGGUAGGGCUUAACCCUAUCACGGCGUUGGGGACUGUGUAACUUGAGUCAUGGAGGGGGAGUUGGAAUUCCGCGUGUAGGGGUGAAAUCUGUAGAUAUGCGGAAGAACACCGGUGGCGAAGGCGAAC
RNAcentral lists this ribosomal RNA (677 nucleotides) under uncultured spirochete. Its description in RNAcentral is "bacterial SSU rRNA". It matches the Rfam family "Bacterial small subunit ribosomal RNA", at positions 59 to 726 of the family's 1533-position model. The record is from RNAcentral. Lineage: Bacteria; Pseudomonadati; Spirochaetota; Spirochaetia; Spirochaetales.